AUGGAUCGAGCUGAUACUGGGGUGCGCCAGACCAGAGAUGACAGCAAUACUCCAUGUGUGGCCGGACCUGCGCUUUGUAGAGCGCUAGUAUGUGGGCCGGCUUGAAGAAUUGCCGUGCUCUAUUAAUGACGCCCAGCAGAGAAAAGACUACACGUGACGGCUCUCUUAUACUUAUAAGUAAAUUAUUUAAAUUCAAAGACCGUAAAGAUAUUGAAGGCCUCUCUGUUGAACGUACCAUUAAAAUAGCAUGUGCAGAGCUUGAGCGCGCCAUUGUUGUUAGUAUAUACAGACCCCCGAUGCAUUAUAUGAGUUAUUUUAGUGUAUUGGAGGAAUUUCUAUCAAAAUUAUCAGAAUCUAAGCAGUAUAUUAUGAUUUAUGGUGACUUUAAUAUUAAUUUAUUAGAAAAAUCCACCACUAGUAUAUAUAUAUUACUAAUAAUUAUAAAUCUCUUUUUUAGUAUAAAUAAAAAAUAAACAAAUGUGCUUCAAUUAAAAAGUUUAUGUUUGUUCCGGUUAAUAAUAGGCGAAUGGAGAAAUAUAGCGGCAAUGUUUCGGAAAAACUGUCAAAUUUGUAUUUGAAUUAUAACAGUACUCCAAAUGAGACGGUACCUAACGGCGACGAAUGGAAAAGGAUUGACAAAGGCUUCAGAAAUUCCUGGAAUUUCCCUGGUUGCUCAGGUGCUAUAGAUGGGAAACACGUUACCGUCAAAGCUCCACCAAAUGCAGGAAGUUAUUACUUCAACUACAAAAAAAAUAACAGCAUUGUUCUCAUGGCAGUGGCAGAUGAUGACUACUGUUUUUCAUAUAUUGAUGUUGGAUGUAACGGGCGUGUAUCGGAUGGUGGAGUUUUCUCCCAUUGUGAUCUUAGUCAUGCCUUGGAAAAUAAUUUACUGCCCGAAGGUCUUGUUCUAGUGGCCGAUAAUGCGUUUCCUCUAAAACCAUAUAUGAUGAAACCAUAUGGUGGAAACCAAUUGACAUUUGAACAAAAAAUUUUUAAUUAUAGAUUAUCACGGGCAAGAGGAAUCAUCGAAAAUGCUUUUGGCAUCUUAGUUUGUCGAUACAGAAUUUUCGAAAGGCCCCUACCCUUUUUUCCCAAGAAGGUGGAAAAAAUCUUAAAAGCCUGUUGGGCCAUGCAUAACAGGGCGAGAAAAACCAAAGUACCCGUACAGGUUGCCACGGUUGAUAUCGAGGACACAGAGAAUGGAAAUUUGAUUGAAGGAUCCUGGAGAGAAGUGACAUCAGAUGGACUUGUUCCAUUGACUAUUAGCAUGCAGAAUAGACCAUCUCAAAUUGCACAAAACAAACGCAAUAAUUAUGCAAAUUAUUUUGUAGGAGAAGGUGCAGUCUCUUGGCAGUCUCGAAUGAUAAAUUGAAGUAAAUCGUGGUUUUAAUUCAA
Molecule: long non-coding RNA, 1395 nt
Organism: Leptidea sinapis
Lineage: Eukaryota; Metazoa; Arthropoda; Insecta; Lepidoptera; Pieridae
Exons: 2
Source: RefSeq, a predicted model, not a curated record